GCUAGGGGAGCCACUUGGCUGAGAAAUGUACAUUGACCCUUAUCACUUGAACCGGGUAAUGCCGGCGUAAGGAAGCGA
This 78-nucleotide non-coding RNA is filed under the name bovine gut metagenome. RNAcentral's name for it is "TPP riboswitch (THI element)". It matches the Rfam family "TPP riboswitch aptamer (THI element)", at positions 8 to 91 of the family's 105-position model. Rfam says of the family: Vitamin B(1) in its active form thiamin pyrophosphate (TPP) is an essential coenzyme that is synthesised by coupling of pyrimidine and thiazole moieties in bacteria. The previously detected thiamin-regulatory element, thi box was extended, resulting in a new, highly conserved RNA secondary structure, the THI element, which is widely distributed in eubacteria and also occurs in some archaea. The record is from RNAcentral.